RNAcentral lists this long non-coding RNA (1190 nucleotides) under Nicotiana benthamiana. RNAcentral's name for it is "long non-coding RNA (NBEN_LNC008132)". The record is from RNAcentral. Lineage: Eukaryota; Viridiplantae; Streptophyta; Magnoliopsida; Solanales; Solanaceae.
CUGAAAGCCAAGGCUAAUUAUAAGGCUUCUUUGCUUUGUUACUCAAAGUGUGCAACUGGUAGGUCCUAAUUUCGAUUACCAACUUUCAACUACUUGUUUAUUUUCACCCUGUUCUUUGCUUGUUAUACUUUCAGUUUAAUAUUCAGCAUGUAAUCCCUUUCCCUUUCCUUUGUUUGUUUCUUUCAGUACUUCAUUUGAAUUCUAGCAUGUUUUAACUCCCUCCUCUUUCUCCCGGGCUGUUAUGUUUCAGUUUAAAACUCUAACAUGUUUUAUUCCCUUUUCCCUGACUCCCUUACAUGUUUUGUGCAUUUCAGUUUAAGUCCUAACCUGCUUAAUCCCUUUCCCUCAUUCCCUUGUUUUGUUAUUUCAGUAUGUUCAAUUCUUUUCCCUUGUCUUUUACCUGCUUGUGUAUUUAAAUUUCUGCAUGUUGAUCCCAUCUCCCUGUCCCUUUGAUUGUUUAUAUUCAGUAAGACUAGCAUCCCUUUCCUUUUCCUUGCCUUCCUGUUAUUUAGUGAAUUCUUGGAUCAUUUUAAUCUUGUUCUUUCAAUACCUUUAUGUGAUUUCCCUUUCCCUUUUGUCCCUGUUCUGUUUAUGAGUUUAUUUUGGAUGAGAAUGAAACUUCAUUGCCACUUCUAAUCUAGAACCAAGGCUUUUAAUUGCCUAUUCUCAGAAUGAUCCCACUCCCUUUCCCCUCUCUUAUGUGUUUGAGCAUUGACAAAGGCCUGUUGGUGUCUUAAUCACCUUCCAUGCCCUUGUCUGACUUGUUUACAAGUCUGCUCCUGUUUGUAACCUUUGUAAGGAGUCUGGGGUGUGCCAGUCUCUUUCAAUAGGCUGGGUAUGACCACUUCAUACACUGUUUCCCUCUAAUCCUCACUUUGCACUUAUUCUUAGCCCUUUAAGUUCCUACCCCCCGUUUGGUAAGACAUGCUUAGGUACCUUGGAGUCUCCUCUGAACUUGGAUGCCUUAGGGCUGGUAAUUCCACACUUGCACUAUUCCAACUAGGGUGUAAGCAAUGCCUGGGUCUCUUUAGAAUUGGAUGCCUUAGGGCUGGUAAUUCCACACUUGCACUAUUCCAAUUAGGGUAUAAGCAAUGUCUGGGCUCUUUGAAGGCCUUUGGAACUUUGUAACACUAUAGAAGAGAAAAGCCUCGGAUCUUUGGAGCUCGGAUUUGGUAAAAGGCAUAUGUUGG